Podarcis lilfordi (Lilford's wall lizard) is the source of this 75-nucleotide non-coding RNA. Lineage: Eukaryota; Metazoa; Chordata; Lepidosauria; Squamata; Lacertidae. The record is from the annotation of a GenBank genome assembly.
GGAGGGGCUGUAACUCAGUGGGAGAGCACCUGCUUGGCAUGCAGAAGGACCCAGGACCAAUCCCCAGGCUCUCCA